RNAcentral lists this ribosomal RNA (474 nucleotides) under uncultured bacterium. RNAcentral's name for it is "bacterial SSU rRNA". It matches the Rfam family "Bacterial small subunit ribosomal RNA", at positions 26 to 518 of the family's 1533-position model. The record is from RNAcentral.
AGGACGAACGCUGGCGGUGUGCCUCAUACAUGCAAGUCGAACGAGAAGUUACCUUCGGGUAAUGGAAAGUGGCGGACGGGUGAGUACAACAUAGGAAAUCUGCCCUAAAGCGGGGGGACAACAGAGGGAAACUCCUGCUAAUACCCCAUAUGAGCUUAGUUGAAAUACUAAUCUUGAAAGAUUUAUCACUUUAGGAUGAGCCUGUGCCUGAUUAGCUGGUUGGUGGUGUAAUGGACUACCAAGGCGACGAUCAGUAGCUGGUUUGAGAGGAUGAUCAGCCACAAUGGGACUGAGACACGGCCCAUACUCCUACGGGAGGCAGCAGUAGGGAAUUUUGCGCAAUGGGGGAAACCCUGAACCGCAGCAACACCGCGUGAAUGUUAAGCCCUUCGGGGUGUAAAGUUCUGUCAAUAGGGAAGAAUAAAUGACUGUACCUAUAAAGGAAGCACCGGCUAACUCCGUGCCAGCCGCUGC